This 274-nucleotide ribosomal RNA is filed under the name uncultured bacterium. RNAcentral describes it as "partial 16S ribosomal RNA". It matches the Rfam family "Bacterial small subunit ribosomal RNA", at positions 523 to 796 of the family's 1533-position model. The record is from RNAcentral.
AUACGGGGGGUGCAAGCGUUAAUCGGAAUUACUGGGCGUAAAGCGCGCGUAGGCGGUUUGCUCAGUCGGAUGUGAAAGCCCAGGGCUCAAUCUUGGAACUGCAUACGAUACUGGCAAACUAGAGUGUGAGAGAGGAUAGUGGAAUUUCCGGUGUAGCGGUGAAAUGCGUAGAUAUCAGAAGGAACAUCAGUGGCGAAGGCGACUGUCUGGCUCAACACUGACGCUGAGGUGCGAAAGCGUGGGUAGCAAACAGGAUUAGAAACCCCAGUAGUCC